RNAcentral lists this ribosomal RNA (164 nucleotides) under Printzia polifolia. RNAcentral's name for it is "5.8S ribosomal RNA". It matches the Rfam family "5.8S ribosomal RNA". Rfam says of the family: 5.8S ribosomal RNA (5.8S rRNA) is a component of the large subunit of the eukaryotic ribosome. It is transcribed by RNA polymerase I as part of the 45S precursor that also contains 18S and 28S rRNA. Lineage: Eukaryota; Viridiplantae; Streptophyta; Magnoliopsida; Asterales; Asteraceae. The record is from RNAcentral.
CAAACGACUCUCGGCAACGGAUAUCUCGGCUCACGCAUCGAUGAAGAACGUAGCAAAAUGCGAUACUUGGUGUGAAUUGCAGAAUCCCGUGAACCAUCGAGUUUUUGAACGCAAGUUGCGCCCGAGGCCAUUCGGCCAAGGGCACGUCUGCCUGGGCGUCACGC